GAUGAACGCUGGCGGCGUGCCUAUUACAUGCAAGUCGAGCGAACAGACGAGGAGCUUGCUCCUCUGACGUUAGCGGCGGACGGGUGAGUAACACGUGGAUAACCUACCUAUAAGACUGGGAUAACUUCGGGAAACCGGAGCUAAUACCGGAUAAUAUAUUGAACCGCAUGGUUCAAUAGUGAAAGACGGUUUUGCUGUCACUUAUAGAUGUAUCCGCGCCGCAUUAGCUAGUUGGUAAGGUAACGGCUUACCAAGGCGACGAUGCGUAGCCGACCUGAGAGGGUGAUCGGCCACACUGGAACUGAGACACGGUCCAGACUCCUACGGGAGGCAGCAGUAGGGAAUCUUCCGCAAUGGGCGAAAGCCUGACGGAGCAACGCCGCGUGAGUGAUGAAGGUCUUCGGAUCGUAAAACUCUGUUAUUAGGGAAGAACAAAUGUGUAAGUAACUAUGCACGUCUUGACGGUACCUAAUCAGAAAGCCACGGCUAACUACGUG
RNAcentral lists this ribosomal RNA (497 nucleotides) under uncultured bacterium. Its description in RNAcentral is "partial 16S ribosomal RNA". It matches the Rfam family "Bacterial small subunit ribosomal RNA", at positions 28 to 507 of the family's 1533-position model. The record is from RNAcentral.